CCCAUUUUUGCUCCCAUCAGCCGCACCUGAGCCCCCCUCUCUUUUUCUACUCGUUCCCUUUGCGUCUCUCUUAAUCUACCAUCGGUGGACUAAUCAACACCGACGCCGCCUCUCUUCUCUCCCCCCCGACCCUCCUUUCUCUCUAAAACACUAGCCACCGACGUCGCUCGAGACAACCGCCAAGCCGCCACCUAGCUCCUCCAUAUCCAUCGGAACCAUCAGCUGCUCCGAUCGGCGACCCCCUCCUUUCCCUAGUAGCAGCAAGAAAAUAGCCUCUAGCCACCGCUAAAACCAUUUUUGAUGGAGCCUCACCGGCGAAACUAGCCCCAAAACCAACACCGCCACCCCACUUGUCACCAGCGAAUCAUGACGAAUUCAUGACGAAUCCGUCCAGGUUUGUAUCCUCGUUUAAUUCUUGUACCCCAAAUUAAUAUUAUUAUCUUUCUCUCAUUCUAUUUCUUUUAACAGUUUAUUAAUUUUGAAAUUAGUGAUAUUCAAUUUUGUUUUUUAAUUUGAUUCUUUUAAUUUCAUGUUUGUUUGUAUUCUUUAGUUGACAUAUGUUAAAAGCCCUAAAAUUUGUAGACUGUUGGACCCCAAUCUGUCGCAAAUUAAGUUAGGAGUUUAGUAGAUUUGACUUGCUCAUUCCCCACUUUCCUGAACUCUAAAUUAUGAUAAGUGUCCUGCAUGUAUUUGGACUAUUUUGGUAUAAUUUGGCCUAGUUGCUUGAUAUGUUGCUUGAAUUUUGUGAAAUUUGGACUAGUUUCUUUACUAUGCGAUAAUCUGUUAUUCCCAUUUCUGGAGGAAUGAGUAUGUCCUUGGCUGAUUUCCCCUAUACAUGCAAUACCAUUGCCUACUCUCAUAACUUUGAUUUCGGAAAUUUGAUUUGGUUGAUUGAUCUUUUGGUAUAUUGUGAUGUCUCCCUUUAAGCAUGUCGAUUUGAUUUCAAUUAGAGUUGAUUUCAAUUAGAGGGUUGCUCCUAAUUAUAGUAUAUUUUUAAAUAGAGAUUCGAGAUUAUGGUAAUUAUACUGAUUUGGAAUUAUGUGUAUCUUUAUAUUCCAUGGUCUCCUUAUUUAUCCUCUCACCCUUUUUGAUUUGAAAAGAUUUUAUACUUAUCUAUUUAUGGUAAACAUUAAUCCAUCCUCAAUCUGAUUGAUUUAAUUUGCCAUAUCUUAUUGUGUGAUUGAAAAUUUCCUUCCUUUCUUUAAUGUCAUGAUUGACUUUGUGAUAGCGAAUAUAUUUUUUUUUACCUUAAUUGUCAUAGCAUGAUUGAUUUUGUGCCUUGAUUAUCAUAGUCGUUUUCUACUAUAUAAAUAAUCUUUUUCAGUUCUUAAAGAGUACUUCGAAUCCUCUCGAUUCUCUCAUAUACAAAAUACUGGAAUUUUAUAUUUUUUAUUCUCUCAAGAACAGACAACUUAGAAGUUACAAUAUACGACAUACACUCUCUCUUACUAAAAGCUUAAAGAAAAGAAGAGGUAAUUUUACUUUAUUAUUUUUGGCACUUAUUUUUGGAGCAUUAAUCUUGACCUUUCGAUGGCAAUCCAUUCUCGGAUCUCUGGCUGUUUGAUUUUCUUAUUGUUAUUAUCAUUUGUUAUCAUCAACCGAGUUUGUUAGGAAUGACACUCACAUGGUUCGCCCAACAAGACUUCAACAAAUGGCAUAAUUGGGAAGAAUUGGCUUAAGAUUUCAUGAGGCAAUACAAGUUUAACAUCACUACUAGUCCAACAAUGCAGGAGUUAUUCGAGAUGAAGAGAACGAUCCAUGAAUCUUUUGAGGAAUAUGCAAUUCGAUAGAGGUUAGAGGCUUCCGAAAUACGUUCUUCUGUACCUGAGGAGGAAUUGAUCCAAAUUUUUCUCAAGACACUAGAUGGAAUAUACUUUCAGAAAAUGUUUUUCCUGGUCAUUCACAGCUUUGAGAGUCUAAUUUCAAUUGGAAAGAAUUUAGAAUAUGAAACAAAGAAUCCAUCUAAGGGGGAGAAAGAGGAUGCAUCACCCUCCAUACCUCCAAUGCAAGUUUAUCAAAAUAAUGAAGAGACCCAUAUUGUUUUUGGUUCUCAAAAACCUCAAAAAUUUCACAAGUAAACAAUAUAUUCAUUUCUGCACCCAUAUUUCAACAUUUUAAUGCAUUUUUCAGCAUAUUAAUAUGAAAUUUCUGCACCAUUAAUAUAAUUUUCUACAUGUUAAAGAUUAGGUGUUAGGCAUUUUUUAGCAUGUUAUUGCAUUUUUAGCAUGUAAACAUGAAAUUCCUGCGCACUAACCCAAUUGCCAGCAUGUUAAAAAUGUAGGUUUUUGAGCAUUUUCAACAUGUUAAACCCUAGAUUAAGUACAUCAUUAUGUGCCUUAGCAUGUUAAUGUAUUUUCAAUAUUGUGUUAAUUUCUUACACUCUCAUUAGUUUAUAACACUUGCACAAUGAAAGUCGUGAACACAACUCCUUGACAUAUUUACCGCACUUUUACAUCCUCUUUUAACAAGUUGACAACACAUUGUUUAGAUAUGAAUCACAGUUAUCUUUUGUCAUAUUAGACAGUUAUUGAACACUUAGAUAUCAUGCCUAUAGGUUAAUGACAUCAAAAUAAAUAAUUGUCUGUCUUUGCAUGUUAAUCACAUUAAUCAACUUUAAUUAACCAAGAGGCUAAUUUAGGACAAUUGUGCGCUAUGUGACGUCCUACUUGUUAUGCGUUUUGAUUCCUAGGCAACAUAGCUUUAUUUUUGUCUAGACCACAAAGCCAAAAUAGAAAAGGAUGCCUCUUGGACGAUAGGUAUGACGAUAAGUAUUACUAAAGAUGGUAAUUUUAUCCUGGUCUUAGAAUGCCUUUAGACUUGAUAGCCAGCCUAGGUGGGGUGGGACGGGUAGUCAUUCGAAAGUGAUGAUCUCCAACAAACAUUAAAGAUAAGACAUAUGACUUGUCUAAGAGUUCGGCCAGUGGGUCGGAUGAUGAUUAAACAAGUUGGGGUUCUGAUUCGAACGAGUCCAAAAAUAUUUUUUUGUUUGAUUUGAUGAAUUUUUUUUAUUCUUUUAUUUACCUUACACACUUAUUUAUUUGGGGUAAUUAGUUUGUUACAUAAGCAGCCCCCUUGUGUUAUAAAUUAUGUCAUUUCUUUCCCCUCAUUUGUCUUAUUUACAUGUUUUAUUGACUUUUGUCACUUAGAUAAUCAACAAUUAGAAAUAAUCAAAUAACAUGUGUUCUUUUAUCAAUUACUGUUUCACUUAGUUAACAAUUAAGUUAAAAUAAGAGACUUUUAUUUGAACACAUAGCAUCCCCACGUAAAAUACAAAUUCGGUCAGGAACCAUCUUUGUGGACCUCGAAAGGUACCUAACGCUUUUCUUUUGAGGUAAUUUGAACCCUUACCCGAAUAUCUGGCAAUCUGAGACUAAAUAACAAAAUAGGUUUGUAGUAGCCUAGACCGGUGUCCUAACUCACCUUAAUUCGUUAGGUGGCGACUCUUCACAUUCAUACCCUCAAAACUAUUCCAAAAAAAGUAGUCACAUUGAAUCCCGCUUUUUGCGAGUGAAAAAUUAGGCGCGAUAAUAACUUUGAGGAAUCCAUCAAUGGUGAGUGUGUCUACAUGGGUAACUCCACUACUGCUAGAGUUUUGGGUAAAGGAAAUUUUUUACUUAAAUUAACUUCUGAAAAAAUAUUACCCUUGAACAAUGUUCUGUAUGUUUCCUCGCUCCGUAGAAACUUAGUUUCUGGAGCACUUCUCAACAAAGUAGGCCUUAAACUUGUUUUUGUAGCUGAUAAAAUAAUUAUCUCCCGCGGAGGAAACUUUGUUGGGAAGAGAUACCUUAGUGGGGACUUACUUGUACUGAACAUUGAUCAAGAGAUUGUCAAUAAUGCAAAUGUUUCUAAUUCUGCUUAUAUUGUUGAGUUUAUUAAUUUGUGAUAGACUAGGUCAUGUUAAUAUUUAUUCUAUUAAAAGACUUAGAAAAAUGGGAUUAAUUCCCAUAGUAAAUAUUGAUGAUUUUUCUAAAUGUCCUCUAUGUGAAGAAGCAAAGCAUGCCAAGAAACCUUUUAACUAUGUUACUAGUAGAAAGACUGAAUUGCUUGAACUAGUACAUUCAAACUUAGCAGAUUUUAAGAAUACUAUUAGUAAAGGUGGAAAAAAAUAUUACAUUACUUUUGUUGAUGAUUUUUUUAGGUACACUAAGGUAUACCUCCUUAAGUUUAAAGAUGAGGCUGAAAGCAUGUUUUUAAAAUUUAAAAUAGAAGUAGAAAAUCAAUUAAAUAGGAAAAUCAAGAGAUUUAGAUCUUAUAGGGGCGGUGAAUAUAGUACUAAAACUCUAGAAGAUUUUUGUGAAAUAAAUGGUAUUAUUCAUGAGUUUACUGCUCCCUAUACUCCCCAAUAAAAUGGUGUAGCCGAACGAAAGAAUAGAACACUUAAGAAAAUGAUGAAUUCUAUGCUUUUAAGCUUGGGUCUACCUGACUACAUAUAAAGGAAGCUGUCUUAUCUGCAUGUUAUAUUCUUAAUAGAGUCUCUCAUAAAAAGUUAGACAGGACCUCUUAUGAAUUGUGGAAAGGAUUUACUCCUAACUUGAAAUUUUUGAAAGUGUGGGGGUGUUUGGAUAAGGUUGGUCUACCUGAUUUUUAAACAAGUAAAUGUAGGUUCUAAUACCUUUGACACUAUCUUUAUUGGUUAUGCUCAAAAUAGUAUUGCAUAUAUAUUUAUGUCAUUAAAUAAUUAUUCUAUUUGUGAAUCUAAAUCUGGAGAAUUUCUUGAGCAUGUUUUUCUUUUGAAAAAUGAUGUGCCUGUUGAUGUGCAAAAUACUACUUCUAUAUCUAUGUAUGUUAACUCUCAAGUAUUGCCUGCAUCUGAUGUUAUUGCUAAUGAACAUGAAAAUAAACUUAGAAGGAGUAAAAGACGUGGAACUGAGACUAAUUUUGGUCCUGAUUUUAUCACCACUUUUUUAACUGAGGAUUUUGAUAUCGAUACUUUAAAUGAUAAAUUAAUAUCUAUACACUUAAUAGAAGAAGAACCUAAGACAUAUGGUGAAUCAAUGAGUUCAAUAGAUAUGAUAUUUUGGAAAUAGUCUAUUAAAAGUGAAUUAGACUCUAUAGUCUCUAAUCACACAUGUGACUUGUAUGAUUUUCCUAAAAGUUGUAAACCCAUAAAUAGUAAGUGGAUAUUUAAGACGAAAUUGAGGCGUGAUGGUACAAUUGAUAAAUAUAAGGCUAGACUUAUGAUUAGGGGUUUUAACCAAAAGAAAGGUGUUGAUUAUUUUGAUGCUUAUUCUCCUGAGUUUAAAAUAGGGACCAUUAGGACUCUUAUUACUUUAGCUGUUAUUCAUAGUUUAGUUGUACACCAAAUGGAUGUCAGAACUGCAUUUUUGAAUGGUGAUUUAGAGAAAGAAAUCUAUAUGACUCCACCUGAGGGGUUUGUGGUCUUAGGACAAGAGGAUAAAGUAUGCAAAUUGAGAAAUUCCUUAUAUGGAAUUAAGCAGACACCUAAGCAGUGGUAUGAAAAAUUUAAUUUCAUAUUAAUGAAUAAUAGUUUUGUUGUUAAUUCAUCUGAUACCUGUGUUUAUUCUAAAAUAAUAUGAUCAGAUUGAGUGAUUAUAUGUUUAUAUGUGGAUGACAUGUUGUAAAUGAGACUAAGAAAUUUGUAUUUUCUAAAUUUAAAAUGAAAUACCUUAGAGAAGCUGAUGUGAUUUUAGGGAUAAAAAUCAAAAGAAUUGUUAAUGGUUUCUCUUUAUGUCAGUCUCAUUAUAUUGAAAAGAUGUUGAAAAAGUUUGAUUGUUUUGAUGUAAUUUUAGUGAGAACUCCUUAUGAUCCUAACAUACACUUGAAAAAAUAAUCGAGAUUUUGGUGUUUCUCAAACUGAAUAUGCUAAAAUAAUUGAGAGUGUAAUGUUUCUCAUGAACUAUACUCGGCCUGAUAUAGAUUAUGCUAUUAGUAGAUUGAGUAGAUAUACUCGUAAUUCCAGUAGUGAACAGUGGAAUGCUCUUCACCGCUUUUUAAGGUAUCUGCCAGGUACUAUAGAUUGGUGUUUGUAUUUUAAUAAAUUUCCUGCUAUUUUAGAAGGUUUUUGUGAUGCAAACUUGGUAACUGACAAUGAUGAAGUUAACUCUACCAGUGGCUAUGUAUUUA
Capsicum annuum is the source of this 6084-nucleotide RNA transcript. RefSeq lists it as uncharacterized. Lineage: Eukaryota; Viridiplantae; Streptophyta; Magnoliopsida; Solanales; Solanaceae. The record is from RefSeq and is a predicted model, not a curated record. The transcript is spliced from 2 exons.